CCUACGGGAGGCAGCAGUGAGGAAUAUUGGUCAAUGGCCGGAAGGCUGAACCAGCCAUGCCGCGUGAAGGUCAGUGCCCUAUGGGCGUUAAACUUCUUUUGUGCGGGAGCAAUAAUGGUCACGUGUGGCCAGACGAGAGUACCGUACGAAUAAGCAUCGGCUAACUCCGGGCCAGCAGCCGCGGUUAUACGGGGGAUGCAAGCGUUAUCCGGAUUUAAUGGGGUUAAAGGGUGCGUAGGCUGGUAGGUAAGUCAGCGGUGAAAAGCCCCCGCUCAACGGGGUGAAGUGCCAUUGAUACUGGCUUGCUGGAAUGCAGAUGCGGUGGGAGGAAUGUGUGGUGUAGCGGUGAAAUGCAUAGAUAUCACACAGAACACCGAUUGCGAAGGCAGCUCACGAAUCCGCGAUUGACGCUGAUGCACGAAAGCGUGGGUAUCAAACAGGAUUAGAUACCCUUGUAGUC
This 460-nucleotide ribosomal RNA is filed under the name uncultured bacterium. Its description in RNAcentral is "partial 16S ribosomal RNA". It matches the Rfam family "Bacterial small subunit ribosomal RNA", at positions 338 to 795 of the family's 1533-position model. The record is from RNAcentral.